AUUGAACGCUGGCGGCAUGCUUUACACAUGCAAGUCGAACGGCAGCACGGGCUUCGGCCUGGUGGCGAGUGGCGAACGGGUGAGUAAUGCAUCGGAACGUGCCCAUUUGUGGGGGAUAACUACGCGAAAGCGUGGCUAAUACCGCAUACGCCCUGAGGGGGAAAGCGGGGGAUUCUUCGGAACCUCGCGCAAUUGGAGCGGCCGAUGUCAGAUUAGCUUGUUGGUGAGGUAAAGGCUCACCAAGGCGACGAUUUGUAGCGGGUCUGAGAGGAUGAUCCGCCACACUGGGACUGAGACACGGCCCAGACUCCUACGGGAGGCAGCAGUGGGGAAUUUUGGACAAUGGGGGCAACCCUGAUCCAGCCAUGCCGCGUGAGUGAAGAAGGCCUUCGGGUUGUAAAGUCCUUUCGGCGGGGACGAUGAUGACGGUACCCGCAGAAGAAGCCCCGGCUAACUUCGUGCCAGCAGCCGCGGUAAUCAUAGUCGUA
This 488-nucleotide ribosomal RNA is filed under the name uncultured bacterium. Its description in RNAcentral is "bacterial SSU rRNA". It matches the Rfam family "Bacterial small subunit ribosomal RNA", at positions 30 to 529 of the family's 1533-position model. The record is from RNAcentral.